UAGGGAAUCUUCGGCAAUGGACGGAAGUCUGACCGAGCAACGCCGCGUGAGUGAAGAAGGUUUUCGGAUCGUAAAGCUCUGUUGUAAGAGAAGAACGAGUGUGAGAGUGGAAAGUUCACACUGUGACGGUAUCUUACCAGAAAGGGACGGCUAACUACGUGCCAGCAGCCGCGGUAAUACGUAGGUCCCGAGCGUUAUCCGGAUUUAUUGGGCGUAAAGCGAGCGCAGGCGGUUAGAUAAGUCUGAAGUUAAAGGCUGUGGCUUAACCAUAGUACGCUUUGGAAACUGUUUAACUUGAGUGCAGAAGGGGAGAGUGGAAUUCCAUGUGUGGCGGUGAAAUGCGUAGAUAUAUGGAGGAACACCGGUGGCGAAAGCGGCUCUCUGGUCUGUAACCGACGCUGAGGCUCGAAAGCGUGGGGAGCAAACAGGAUUAGAUACCCUGGUAGUCCACGCCGUAAACGAUGAGUGCUAGGUGUUGGGUCCUUUCCGGGACUCAGUGCCGCAGCUAACGCAUUAAGCACUCCGCCUGGGGAGUACGACCGCAAGGUUG
RNAcentral lists this ribosomal RNA (550 nucleotides) under uncultured bacterium. Its description in RNAcentral is "bacterial SSU rRNA". It matches the Rfam family "Bacterial small subunit ribosomal RNA", at positions 355 to 896 of the family's 1533-position model. The record is from RNAcentral.